UACAGAGGUCCCAAGCGUUGUUCGGAUUCACUGGGCGUAAAGGGUGCGCAGGUGGCAUGGCAAGUUUGAUGUGAAAGCUCAGGGCUCAACCCUGAAAUGGCAUUGAAUACUGCUGUGCUGGAGGUUUGGAGGGGGGACUGGAAUUCUUGGUGUAGCAGUGAAAUGCGUAGAGAUGUGGAGGAACACCGAUGGCGAAGGCAGCCCCCUGGGCUGAGAUUGACGCUCAGGCACGAAAGCGUGGGGAGCAAACAGG
This 253-nucleotide ribosomal RNA is filed under the name uncultured bacterium. Its description in RNAcentral is "partial 16S ribosomal RNA". It matches the Rfam family "Bacterial small subunit ribosomal RNA", at positions 524 to 776 of the family's 1533-position model. The record is from RNAcentral.